AUACGUAGUGAGCGAGCGUUGUCCGGAAUUACUGGGCGUAAAGGGCGCGUAGGCGGCGCUUCAAGUCGUCUGUCAAAUGGGAGGGCUUAACCCUUUUUCGCAGACGAAACUGGAGAGCUUGAGAAGCAGAGAGGCAAACAGAAUUCCUGGUGUAGCGGUGAAAUGCGUAGAUAUCAGGAAGAAUACCAGUGGCGAAGGCGGUUUUGUAGCUGCAUACUUACGCUGAAGCGCGAAAGCCAGGGGAGCGAACGGGAUUAGAUACCCCGGUAGUCCUGGCAGUAAACGAUGUAUGCUGGGUGUGAGACUAGCGAUAGUUUCGUGCCGAAGUUAACGCGAUAAGCAUACCGCCUGGGGAGUACGGUCGCAAGAUUGAAACUCAAAUGAAUUGACGGGG
This 394-nucleotide ribosomal RNA is filed under the name uncultured bacterium. Its description in RNAcentral is "partial 16S ribosomal RNA". It matches the Rfam family "Bacterial small subunit ribosomal RNA", at positions 523 to 918 of the family's 1533-position model. The record is from RNAcentral.